AACGAACGCUGGCGGCAUGCCUAACACAUGCAAGUCGAACGAGACCUUCGGGUCUAGUGGCGCACGGGUGCGUAACGCGUGGGGAUCUGCCCUUUGCUUCGGAAUAACAGUUAGAAAUGACUGCUAAUACCGGAUGAUGACUUCGGUCCAAAGAUUUAUCGGCAAAGGAUGAACCCGCGUAGGAUUAGCUAGUUGGUGGGGUAAAGGCCUACCAAGGCGACGAUCCUUAGCUGGUCUGAGAGGAUGAUCAGCCACACUGGGACUGAGACACGGCCCAGACUCCUACGGGAGGCAGCAGUGGGGAAUAUUGGACAAUGGGCGAAAGCCUGAUCCAGCAAUGCCGCGUGAGUGAUGAAGGCCUUAGGGUUGUAAAGGCUCUUUUACCCGGGAUGAUAAUGACAGUACCGGGAGAAUAAGCUACCGGCUAACUCCGUGCCAGCAGCCGCGGUAAU
This 452-nucleotide ribosomal RNA is filed under the name uncultured bacterium. RNAcentral describes it as "bacterial SSU rRNA". It matches the Rfam family "Bacterial small subunit ribosomal RNA", at positions 29 to 524 of the family's 1533-position model. The record is from RNAcentral.